UACAGAGACUGCAAGCGUUAUUCGGAUUCACUGGGCGUAAAGGGUGCGCAGGCGGCCAAGUGUGUGAGGCGUGAAAGCCCGAAGCUUAACUUCGGAAUUGCACCUCAAACUACAUGGCUAGAGCAUUGGAGAGGGUAGCGGAAUUCACGGUGUAGCAGUGAAAUGCGUAGAUAUCGUAAGGAAGACCAGUGGCGAAGGCGGGUCUCUGGACAGUUCCUGACGCUGAGGCACGAAGGCCAGGGGAGCAAACGGG
This 253-nucleotide ribosomal RNA is filed under the name uncultured bacterium. RNAcentral's name for it is "partial 16S ribosomal RNA". It matches the Rfam family "Bacterial small subunit ribosomal RNA", at positions 524 to 776 of the family's 1533-position model. The record is from RNAcentral.